GGGGAAGUAAAAAUCGUAACAAGGUUUCCGUAGGUGAACCUGCGGAAGGAUCAUUGUCGAUGCCUUACAUGCAGACCAACACGUGAAUCAGUUUGAACACAUAGGGUUGGUUUGAGGUGUUCAACACCUCGGCUUGCCUCUGGUUCGGAGGAGGACGAUGUUGUGCGUUCUCCUUUGUGCCAAAACACAAACCCCGGCGCUGAAUGCGUCAAGGAAUUUAAAAUUUGCUCUGAGCGCACCUGCAUGGCACCGGAGACGGUUUUCGUGCGGGUUGUGUUCUGACACAUAAUAUAGAAUGACUCUCGGCAACGGAUAUCUAGGCUCUUGCAUCGAUGAAGAACGUAGCGAAAUGCGAUACUUGGUGUGAAUUGCAGAAUCCCGUGAACCAUCGAGUCUUUGAACGCAAGUUGCGCCCGAUGCCAUUAGGUUGAGGGCACGUCUGCCUGGGCGUCACAUAUCGAAGCCUCUCGCCAAUUUCCUAUAUUGAUAGGGGUAUUGUGCAGGGCGAAUGUUGGCCUCCCGUGAGCUUUAUUGCCUCAUGGUUGGUUGAAAAUCGAGACCUUGGUAGGGUGUGCCAUGAUAGGUGGUGGMUGUGUUACGCACGAGACCAAGUAAGUCAUGUGCUGCUCUAUUGAAUUUAGGCCUCUUUUACCCACAUGCGUUUCGAAACGCUCGUGAUGAGACCUCAGGUCAGGCGGGGCUACCCGCUGAAUUUAAGCAUAUCAAUACGCGCGAGGAAAAAA
RNAcentral lists this ribosomal RNA (743 nucleotides) under Trifolium repens (white clover). Its description in RNAcentral is "eukaryotic LSU rRNA". The record is from RNAcentral. Lineage: Eukaryota; Viridiplantae; Streptophyta; Magnoliopsida; Fabales; Fabaceae.